UGUUGGCUUCGCUAACUCAUCCUAAUCUCCACGUUUCCUCAUACGUCCAACGUGGUGGUUUCCCCUUUUGCCUUUUACCUUUCGCUUUCCUGUGUCUCGCCCGCGUGGCCGGUCGCCGCUCCGCCGCUCCCGCGCUCUGUCGCCGCCCCGCGCGCGCAACCCAAUCGUCUGGCUUCGACGCAGAGCAGCGGAGGAACGGAUCCCAAAGCGGAGAGAGCGACACGUCAGACUCGUGGCAGCGACCACCCGGCGAAAGAUAAAAAAGAAUAACGAAUUUUCAAGAAGGGCAUAGUAACGGCGUUAACGUGGGUGACGUCGUCGUCGCGGAUGUGGCGAGGCCGCGAGGCAUCGCGCUCGGACGCCCCUUGGAAGCGAAGCGAAGUGUAUUAAUUGGCCCCAAGCGGCCUUCUCUCUCUCUCUCUCUCUCUCUCUCACGCUAUCUCUCGAUCUGUUUCUCCAGCGGCCUUAUAUCUUGCUUUGUACUCCUAUUGGUAUCCCGAUCUAGCGGAAACGUUCAAGGUGGUGAUGAGGUUCGGUGGAACCGGUGGUGCAGAAUUGCGAUGGGAACUCGUGAGGAUCGCUGCUUCUUUCCUCUCACGAGUUUGCAGAUUGGGUAAGAACUAGUAUUGAGGUGUUCUUGGUUCCGUAUGGUUUUCUAGAAACGGUUUUGUUAUCGCUCCCCUGUCUCUACCCCUAAAUCAACUUCAUUUGGUAAGAUUAUCUAGUUGACAUAUUGGACUGAUAUGUGAAAUAUGAACGCUAGAAGCAUGGAUUUAAUGGGAAAGAAGAUGGGGAAAAUUUCGACUCUAGGUUACAAAAUUGUGAGAGAAGAAAUCGUAGUUCCGUGAAAUCUUUAUGUAGUUUAUAACCUUAUAUAAACACCUUCCGUGGAAUUAGUAGUGUCCUUUGAUGGUAUCCGUGUCAUUUGAACCUGGAUGUUUCUAAUACGCUCUUAUUGACCUCCAUCACAAGAUGUCAACAGAUGGUGCAUAGGAUCCCUGCUAGAAGUAGAACCACCCACUUGUCACCUAUUCUAGAUCAGAAGUAGUCUAGCCUGGUUGCUCUGUUGGCGAUGACAUUCCCCUUAUUUGAUCAGAUUCUUGGUGAAAUCCUGCUAGUGGCAUGAUCUGCACAGUCUCCUCCCAAGCAAUAGGUCAUCAAGAAAGAACAAAAAAUAGACAAUUGAAAUUGCAUCAUGAAGAUAUAUCUAUUUCUUUUUCUCAAUUUUUUCUUCUUUUUUCUUGGUGGCAUACUGAAUUGGUACUUGUCAAUAUCCCCCUAUGGUGAGGUAAAUUGUAGGUUGGACUAGGGAAUGGUAUGGGCUGUCUUGCUGAUAAGGCAAUGUUUAUAUGAUGGUUGAUUAAGUAUUUUUUUUAUUGAAUCGUCUCAUUUACAACAAUACUCUCUGUUUAGAAUGAUUACAGAUAUAUCUUAAAUAACUCAUUUACAUGUUCAUUUUUUUGGGUUUCAUGGAUUAUCAUCAAUAUUGUUUUUAAAACUCGAAUGGCAUCAUGAAAUAGUAUGCCAUCAGAUAAUCGGGGUGUCGUGUGGACAUAUAUAUGAGACAUAUGAGCAAUGUUAUGUAAAACAUAUGCAUUAUAAAGAGGGUUUGAUAGAUUAAUAAGCCAAUGUAUCCAUGGUUGUUGCUAUUUCUUUAGAGACAAAUAUUUCUAAAUAUGAUUUAUCAAAAGAAAACUACAUUUUGAUAUGUUGCAUUUGUCAAAACUUUUCAGUAUCCUGAUCCUCUUUUAUCAUUUAGCAAUGUAUUUGUAGUAAUCAAGCAAUAACAGGUUAGUUGUUAGGCCCCAGAUCCGGUGCUUAAGCUACUGCGUAGCUUGGAGGCCCUUUGAGUGCCAAGGGAAGGGUGUGCUGACAAACCCUUUUGCUAAUGCUGGCUUGUCCUGGUUAAUAUGGAUCUCAUGUUGACCAUGCUAAUUGGCAUAUACUGUGGCAACAAUGCAUUGUGAUCAUCUGUUUGCUCGAGUUUAAUUCUUAAUUCAAGAGUCUCAGUAACUGUACUUUGUGAAUUCCCAUCUCAAACAGCAAUUUAAGAUUCCAGGAAUGGUACCUAGUGAAUUCUCAUCUCAAACAGCAAUCCAAUUUUCCUCAUUGAA
Molecule: long non-coding RNA, 2114 nt
Organism: Musa acuminata AAA Group (dessert banana)
Lineage: Eukaryota; Viridiplantae; Streptophyta; Magnoliopsida; Zingiberales; Musaceae
Exons: 2
Source: RefSeq, a predicted model, not a curated record